This 253-nucleotide ribosomal RNA is filed under the name uncultured bacterium. RNAcentral describes it as "partial 16S ribosomal RNA". It matches the Rfam family "Bacterial small subunit ribosomal RNA", at positions 524 to 776 of the family's 1533-position model. The record is from RNAcentral.
GACAGAGGGUGCAAACGUUGUUCGGAAUUACUGGGCGUAAAGCGCACGUAGGCGGCUUUCUAAGUCGGGGGUGAAAUCCUGGAGCUCAACUCCAGAACUGCCUUCGAUACUGGAAAGCUCGAGUCCGGGAGAGGUGAGUGGAACUGCGAGUGUAGAGGUGAAAUUCGUAGAUAUUCGCAAGAACACCAGUGGCGAAGGCGGCUCACUGGCCCGGUACUGACGCUGAGGUGCGAAAGCGUGGGGAGCAAACAGG